Molecule: long non-coding RNA, 252 nt
Organism: Myotis myotis
Lineage: Eukaryota; Metazoa; Chordata; Mammalia; Chiroptera; Vespertilionidae
Exons: 3
Source: RefSeq, a predicted model, not a curated record
UUCCUCGGCUGUAGGAUAUCCACGCACCUGUCGCCCACCCUGUAAUGUGCCGGUGCCGGGCUAGGGACUGGGUUGGUCCUGCGCCGGGACUCAGCUCCGCGUAGGGCGAAAGGACCCGCGAAGCCGAGCACAGGUUCCGGUGGUGAAGUGCACAGUGGAAAAAGGAUGUAUCGUUUUGGAAUGUUGAGGAGAAGGUUCGAUUCUGGUCAAGGGCACGUACCUGGUUCCUCCGUUGCAGGCUCGAUCCUCGGU